This 446-nucleotide ribosomal RNA is filed under the name Gyliotrachela diarmaidi. Its description in RNAcentral is "partial 16S ribosomal RNA". It matches the Rfam family "Archaeal large subunit ribosomal RNA", at positions 1920 to 2666 of the family's 2987-position model. Lineage: Eukaryota; Metazoa; Mollusca; Gastropoda; Stylommatophora; Vertiginidae. The record is from RNAcentral.
AGCUUUAAGAAAGUAUAUUUAAAGUGAUGUCUGCCCGGUGAUUAAUAUUUAACGGCCGCAGUACUUUGACUGUGCUAAGGUAGCAUAAUAAAUUGACCCUUAAUUGGGGCCUAGAAUGAACGGAUAAUUAAAAAUUGACUGUCUUUAUUUAAUUUAAUAAAAUUUACUUAUUAGGUGAAAAUUCCUAAAUUUUCUACAUAAGACGAGAAGACCCUAUGAAUUAUUAUUAAAAUGACUCCCUCUCUCAUUAUUUUUUUGUUGGGGCAACAGCGUUGGAAAGUAAACCAACGGCAAAGAAGGUUUAUAAACCAAAUUUAUUUCAAUAAAACUAAUUACCUUAGGGAUAACAGCAUAAUUUUUAUUUAAGCUUGUGACCUCGAUGUUGGAUUAAGGACUUUACUUAUUAGCCAUAAUUAAAGAUAGUUCUGUUCGAACUGUAAAACCUU